RNAcentral lists this ribosomal RNA (331 nucleotides) under uncultured bacterium. RNAcentral's name for it is "bacterial SSU rRNA". It matches the Rfam family "Bacterial small subunit ribosomal RNA", at positions 568 to 898 of the family's 1533-position model. The record is from RNAcentral.
CACGUAGGCGGCUUUGCAAGUCGGUUGUGAAAUCCCCGGGCUCAACCUGGGAACUGCAUCCGAAACUGCACUGCUAGAGUAUGGGAGAGGGAAGCGGAAUUUCCGGUGUAGCAGUGAAAUGCGUAGAUAUCGGAAGGAACAUCAGUGGCGAAGGCGGCUUCCUGGACCAAUACUGACGCUCAGGUGCGAAAGCGUGGGGAGCAAACAGGAUUAGAUACCCUGGUAGUCCACGCCCUAAACGAUGAGAACUGGAUGUCGGGAGGGUUUGCCUUCCGGUGUCGUAGCUAACGCGUUAAGUUCUCCGCCUGGGAAGUACGGCCGCAAGGUUGAA